This 253-nucleotide ribosomal RNA is filed under the name uncultured bacterium. RNAcentral describes it as "partial 16S ribosomal RNA". It matches the Rfam family "Bacterial small subunit ribosomal RNA", at positions 524 to 776 of the family's 1533-position model. The record is from RNAcentral.
UACGUAGGGCGCAAGCGUUAUCCGGAAUUAUUGGGCGUAAAGAGCUCGUAGGCGGUUUGUCGCGUCUGCCGUGAAAGUCCGGGGCUCAACUCCGGAUCUGCGGUGGGUACGGGCAGACUAGAGUGAUGUAGGGGAGACUGGAAUUCCUGGUGUAGCGGUGAAAUGCGCAGAUAUCAGGAGGAACACCGGUGGCGAAGGCGGGUCUCUGGGCCGAAACUGACGCUGAGGAGCGAAAGCGUGGGGAGCGAACAGG